CGUAGGGACCGAGCGUUAUCCGGAUUUAUUGGGCGUAAAGCGCGCGUAGGCGGCCACACACGUCGGUUGUGAAAGCUCGGAGCUCAACUCUGAGAGGCCUUCCGAUACGGUGUGGCUAGAGGUAGGUAGGGGAGAGCGGAAUUCCUGGUGUAGCGGUGAAAUGCGCAGAUAUCAGGAGGAACACCGGUGGCGAAGGCGGCUCUCUGGGCCUGUCCUGACGCUGAGGCGCGAAAGCUGGGGGAGCGAACAGGAUUAGAUACCCUGGUAGUCCCAGCCGUAAACGUUGGGUGCUAGGUGUGGGGAGGUCUUCAACCCUUUCCGUGCCGCAGCUAACGCAUUAAGCACCCCGCCUGGGGAGUACGGCCGCAAGGCUA
RNAcentral lists this ribosomal RNA (374 nucleotides) under uncultured organism. Its description in RNAcentral is "bacterial SSU rRNA". It matches the Rfam family "Bacterial small subunit ribosomal RNA", at positions 526 to 896 of the family's 1533-position model. The record is from RNAcentral.